GGGUUGUGAGGUUAAGCGACUAAGCGUACACGGUGGAUGCCCUGGCAGUCAGAGGCGAUGAAGGACGUGCUAAUCUGCGAAAAGCGUCGGUAAGGUGAUAUGAACCGUUAUAACCGGCGAUGUCCGAAUGGGGAAACCCAGUGCAAUUCGUUGCACUAUCGUUAACUGAAUACAUAGGUUAACGAGGCGAACCGGGGGAACUGAAACAUCUAAGUACCCCGAGGAAAAGAAAUCAACCGAGAUUCCCCCAGUAGCGGCGAGCGAACGGGGAGCAGCCCAGAGUCUGAAUCAGCUUGUGUGUUAGUGGAACGGUCUGGAAAGUCCGACGGUACAGGGUGAUAGUCCCGUACACCAAAAUGCACAGGCUGUGAACUCGAAGAGUAGGGCGGGACACGUGGUAUCCUGUCUGAAUAUGGGGGGACCAUCCUCCAAGGCUAAAUACUCCUGACUGACCGAUAGUGAACCAGUACCGUGAGGGAAAGGCGAAAAGAACCCCGGCGAGGGGAGUGAAAAAGAACCUGAAACCGUGUACGUACAAGCAGUGGGAGCACCUUUAUGGUGUGACUGCGUACCUUUUGUAUAAUGGGUCAGCGACUUAUAUUCUGUAGCAAGGUUAACCGUAUAGGGGAGCCGCAGGGAAACCGAGUCUUAACUGGGCGUUAAGUUGCAGGGUAUAGACCCGAAACCCGGUGAUCUAGCCAUGGGCAGGUUGAAGGUUGGGUAACACUAACUGGAGGACCGAACCGACUAAUGUUGAAAAAUUAGCGGAUGACUUGUGGCUGGGGGUGAAAGGCCAAUCAAACCGGGAGAUAGCUGGUUCUCCCCGAAAGCUAUUUAGGUAGCGCCUCGUGAACUCAUCUUCGGGGGUAGAGCACUGUUUCGGCUAGGGGGUCAUCCCGACUUACCAACCCGAUGCAAACUACGAAUACCGAAGAAUGUUAUCACGGGAGACACACGGCGGGUGCUAACGUCCGUCGUGAAGAGGGAAACAACCCAGACCGCCAGCUAAGGUCCCAAAGUCAUGGUUAAGUGGGAAACGAUGUGGGAAGGCACAGACAGCCAGGAUGUUGGCUUAGAAGCAGCCAUCAUUUAAAGAAAGCGUAAUAGCUCACUGGUCGAGUCGGCCUGCGCGGAAGAUGUAACGGGGCUAAACCAUGCACCGAAGCUGCGGCAGCGACACUAUGUGUUGUUGGGUAGGGGAGCGUUCUGUAAGCCUGCGAAGGUGACCUGUGAGGGUUGCUGGAGGUAUCAGAAGUGCGAAUGCUGACAUAAGUAACGAUAAAGCGGGUGAAAAGCCCGCUCGCCGGAAGACCAAGGGUUCCUGUCCAACGUUAAUCGGGGCAGGGUGAGUCGACCCCUAAGGCGAGGCCGAAAGGCGUAGUCGAUGGGAAACAGGUUAAUAUUCCUGUACUUGGUGUUACUGCGAAGGGGGGACGGAGAAGGCUAUGUUAGCCGGGCGACGGUUGUCCCGGUUUAAGCAUGUAGGCUGGUUAUCCAGGCAAAUCCGGAUAAUCAAGGCUGAGGUGUGAUGACGAGGCACUACGGUGCUGAAGUAACAAAUGCCCUGCUUCCAGGAAAAGCCUCUAAGCAUCAGGUAACAUCAAAUCGUACCCCAAACCGACACAGGUGGUCAGGUAGAGAAUACCAAGGCGCUUGAGAGAACUCGGGUGAAGGAACUAGGCAAAAUGGUGCCGUAACUUCGGGAGAAGGCACGCUGGUGUGUAGGUGAAGCCCCUGCGGGUGGAGCUGAGACCAGUCGAAGAUACCAGCUGGCUGCAACUGUUUAUUAAAAACACAGCACUGUGCAAACACGAAAGUGGACGUAUACGGUGUGACGCCUGCCCGGUGCCGGAAGGUUAAUUGAUGGGGUUAUCCGUAAGGAGAAGCUCUUGAUCGAAGCCCCGGUAAACGGCGGCCGUAACUAUAACGGUCCUAAGGUAGCGAAAUUCCUUGUCGGGUAAGUUCCGACCUGCACGAAUGGCGUAAUGAUGGCCAGGCUGUCUCCACCCGAGACUCAGUGAAAUUGAACUCGCUGUGAAGAUGCAGUGUACCCGCGGCAAGACGGAAAGACCCCGUGAACCUUUACUAUAGCUUGACACUGAACAUUGAGCCUUGAUGUGUAGGAUAGGUGGGAGGCUUUGAAGCGUGGACGCCAGUCUGCGUGGAGCCAACCUUGAAAUACCACCCUUUAAUGUUUGAUGUUCUAACGUUGGCCCCUGACCGGGGUUGCGGACAGUGUCUGGUGGGUAGUUUGACUGGGGCGGUCUCCUCCCAAAGCGUAACGGAGGAGCACGAAGGUUAGCUAAUCCUGGUCGGACAUCAGGAGGUUAGUGCAAUGGCAUAAGCUAGCUUGACUGCGAGCGUGACGGCGCGAGCAGGUGCGAAAGCAGGUCAUAGUGAUCCGGUGGUUCUGAAUGGAAGGGCCAUCGCUCAACGGAUAAAAGGUACUCCGGGGAUAACAGGCUGAUACCGCCCAAGAGUUCAUAUCGACGGCGGUGUUUGGCACCUCGAUGUCGGCUCAUCACAUCCUGGGGCUGAAGUAGGUCCCAAGGGUAUGGCUGUUCGCCAUUUAAAGUGGUACGCGAGCUGGGUUUAGAACGUCGUGAGACAGUUCGGUCCCUAUCUGCCGUGGGCGCUGGAGAAUUGAGGGGGGCUGCUCCUAGUACGAGAGGACCGGAGUGGACGCAUCACUGGUGUUCGGGUUGUCAUGCCAAUGGCACUGCCCGGUAGCUAAAUGCGGAAGAGAUAAGUGCUGAAAGCAUCUAAGCACGAAACUUGCCCCGAGAUGAGUUCUCCCUGAGACUUUAAGUCUCCUGAAGGAACGUUAAAGACGAUGACGUUGAUAGGCCGGGUGUGUAAGCGCAGCGAUGCGUUGAGCUAACCGGUACUAAUGAACCGUGAGGCUUAACCUUACAACGCCGAAG
Molecule: ribosomal RNA, 2924 nt
Filed under: Klebsiella quasipneumoniae subsp. similipneumoniae
Lineage: Bacteria; Pseudomonadati; Pseudomonadota; Gammaproteobacteria; Enterobacterales; Enterobacteriaceae
Description: bacterial LSU rRNA
Rfam family: Bacterial large subunit ribosomal RNA
Source: RNAcentral